This 379-nucleotide ribosomal RNA is filed under the name uncultured eukaryote. RNAcentral's name for it is "partial 18S ribosomal RNA". It matches the Rfam family "Eukaryotic small subunit ribosomal RNA", at positions 592 to 975 of the family's 1831-position model. The record is from RNAcentral.
CAAUAGCGUAUAUUAAAGUUGUUGCGGUUAAAAAGCUCGUAGUUGGAGUUCUGCCAGGUGACGCUCGUCCGCCCAAGUGGUGUGUACAGGGCGUGCAUCUGGCCCUUUCAAGGGGAACGUGUCUGCACUUUACUGUGUGGUGCGAGAUCCUUGACUUUUACUUUGAGGAAAUCAGAGUGUUCCAAGCAGGCUCUCGUCGUGUAUAGCUCAGCAUGGAAUAAUAGCAUUGGACUUCGUUUCUAAGCUGUUGGUUGCAAGAAGCGAGGUAAUGAUGAAGAGGGAUAGUUGGGGGCAUUCGUAUUUAACUGUCAGAGGUGAAAUUCUUGGAUUUGCUAAAGACGGACUACUGCGAAAGCAUCUGCCAUGGAUGUUUNCAUUG